CCUACGGGUGGCAGCAGUCGAGAAUCAUUCACAAUGGGGGAAACCCUGAUGCUGCGACGCCGCGUGGGGGAAUGAAGGUCUUCGGAUUGUAAACCCCUGUCAUGUGGGAGCAAAUUAAGAAGAUAGUACCACAAGCGCCAGAGACGGCUAACUCUGUGCCAGCAGCAGCGGUAAUACAGAGGUCUCAAGCGUUGUUCGGAAUCACUGGGCGUAAAGCGUGCGUAGGCUGUUUCGUAAGUCGUGUGUGAAAGGCGCGGGCUCAACCCGCGGACGGCAUAUGAUACUGCGAGACUAGAGUAAGGGAGGGGGAACCGGAAUUCUCGGUGUAGCAGUGAAAUGCGUAGAGAUCGAGAGGAACACUCGUGGCGAAGGCGAGUUCCUGGACAUUAACUGACGCUGAGGCACGAAGGCCAGGGGAGCGAAAGGGAUUAGAUACCCUUGUAGUC
This 446-nucleotide ribosomal RNA is filed under the name uncultured bacterium. RNAcentral describes it as "partial 16S ribosomal RNA". It matches the Rfam family "Bacterial small subunit ribosomal RNA", at positions 338 to 795 of the family's 1533-position model. The record is from RNAcentral.